RNAcentral lists this long non-coding RNA (283 nucleotides) under Capsicum annuum. RNAcentral's name for it is "long non-coding RNA (CANN_LNC016308)". The record is from RNAcentral. Lineage: Eukaryota; Viridiplantae; Streptophyta; Magnoliopsida; Solanales; Solanaceae.
CAGAGUAGAGAAUACAUCAUAAAUAUAUUCAGAUGAACAAGGAAAAAUGUAAUGUCUAUCAAAUAAAAGUAUAAAAUAUGAUAUUAAUAAAUAUUUUUUCAGCGACUUCAAUAAGCAAAGUGAUGUUGGAGUCCCGCAUCGGUGGUUUAAAGAGUCCUUGGUCUUCAUAUAUGGUCUUGGACAAUCAUCCCUUCUUGAGCUAGCUUUUUAGGUUAAGUUAGGCCCAAGGUCCAUUUUUUUAUCAUGAUAUGCCCACCCAGUUCAUUAUUAAUACAAAUAAGAG